Long non-coding RNA from Anastrepha obliqua, 1194 nucleotides. RefSeq lists it as uncharacterized. The transcript has 2 exons. NCBI's taxonomy places the organism in Eukaryota, Metazoa, Arthropoda, Insecta, Diptera, Tephritidae. The record is from RefSeq and is a predicted model, not a curated record.
CAGCUCUCCUUCUUAUUCGUUCCUCUUAAUUAUUAUUAUUUCUUGUGAAUACUGGUGAAAGAUAAAACAAGUUAAAACUAAGGAUUUACUUUAUUUGAUAAUUCUCAAAAUUUAUAAAAAAGUUUCCGGCUCAUCUGAAAACUUUUUUUAAAGGAGGGUGUAUCAACGCGCUAUCAGUCAAUAUUUGUUCACAAGUUCAUAUUAGCUUUUCAAAGAACUAAUUUUCUUCCAAGUUAAACUUAGAAGAUGCAGUUGCUUCAAUAGCUGCAACUGCUCCUUAUGGAAGUGGAACACAAUUUGACCCUCAGAACCCAAUUUGGUCUACUCCACAAUUCUGGAGGUGUUCAGCAACUUCCUCGACUUCAUACAUUUUUCAUGAUAUCUUUUUGAACAUCCAUUAUUAAAAUUUAACUUUUUUCGGUUAUCAUUCAAUGUUUGUUAAUUUUGUUCUAAUUUACAAAUUCGUUUUGGUUUGACAGCUAAUUUCGAUAAAUUUUCGAUAAAAAAUAGUAAGUGCAACGAUUUGUUCGUAAUUCACAAGUAAGUCAAGCCGAAUUGAAUAUAGAAGGUGGCGUCUUCCCACAACAGUUACUUUAUUUUUCGCGACUUUGACAAAUCUGACGUCAGGCUUCUUUCCAAUAUGAAACAAACUAAUAAAAGGAUGAAAAAUUGCAUGUUUGUGGAAAUUCAGUGAAUGGCUUGAUUUAGCAAACUUUUUUUUUUAACUGACGUGAUUUUUGCUCAAAAAUGCUCAUUUUAUUUAUAAAAAAAUUCUAUAUAUGCAAAUCGGUCUAGUUUACGGUACUUAAUAUUUUUCGAAUUAUUUCUCUUAUAAUUCCAAUGGAAUGGGUGGAAACCGUACCUACUUUUUUAUGGAAAGUAAUGCAUGCUAAUGUACAGAUAUAAGAAGCAUGGAUAUAACGAAAUCAAAGCUGCAAUGUAUUCUGCUUCCUAUUGUCUUGUACUAAACAUUAAUACUUACCAGAUGCGGAAAACAGGCUUUGUGGAAGCACAUACAGACGGCGACGACGAGCUCGAUCAAACACCCAAAGGUGGUGUAAAUAUCAAAUAUACAUGUAUGUAGAUACUCGUAUAUUUAAUCUAUAAAUAAGACUCAAAAUGUCGUAUGAUGCCUUUAAUAAAAUGUAUACUUGAAAAAUAAGUGAUAACAAAAUAAAUAACAAAAACCAAUAA